UGACAACAUAACUAUGAUAUGAAUAGAUUUGGUUUGACACGAUCUCGGAAAUGUGCGAAACGCAAAGGCUUGUGUGAUUAUCAUUUGCGACGUCCUUGCCCAAUAUGUGGCUCUGAAAUUAAAAAUAUAAGUCUUAGUUAACGAUAAAAAGAAAUGCAUCCUGCACAGAUUAAUAAUUUCUAUUUCGGAUACAUGUACUAUAUUGAUUAUGUCUUGUCACUCAAUUACCUGUAUUUCAGUGAUAGGUUGCAUCUGAUAUUUUUCAUUGUACUUGAGUUAAAUAAUUCAACCAAAACAAUAGGUCUACUUCAUAUCUUGAUCUGUUCAGUCUGCAUUUCUGUUCUGACAUCAAU
RNAcentral lists this long non-coding RNA (353 nucleotides) under Mytilus galloprovincialis (Mediterranean mussel). The record is from RNAcentral. Lineage: Eukaryota; Metazoa; Mollusca; Bivalvia; Mytilida; Mytilidae.